RNAcentral lists this ribosomal RNA (292 nucleotides) under uncultured microorganism. RNAcentral's name for it is "partial 16S ribosomal RNA". It matches the Rfam family "Bacterial small subunit ribosomal RNA", at positions 505 to 796 of the family's 1533-position model. The record is from RNAcentral.
GUGCCAGCAGCCGCGGUAAUACGGAGGGAGCUAGCGUUGUUCGGAAUUACUGGGCGUAAAGCGCACGUAGGCGGCUUUGUAAGUUAGAGGUGAAAGCCUGGAGCUCAACUCCAGAACUGCCUUUAAGACUGCAUCGCUUGAAUCCAGGAGAGGUGAGUGGAAUUCCGAGUGUAGAGGUGAAAUUCGUAGAUAUUCGGAAGAACACCAGUGGCGAAGGCGGCUCACUGGACUGGUAUUGACGCUGAGGUGCGAAAGCGUGGGGAGCAAACAGGAUUAGAUACCCCGGUAGUCC